GAUGAACGCUGGCGGCGUGCCUAACACAUGCAAGUCGAGCGAUCUUCUUCGGAAGAGAGCGGCGGACGGGUGAGUAACGCGUGGGUAACCUGCCUCAUACACAUGGAUAACAUACCGAAAGGUAUGCUAAUACAAGAUGAUAUAAGAGAUUCGCAUGGAUUUCUUAUCAAAGCUUUUGCGGUAUGAGAUGGACCCGCGUCUGAUUAGCUAGUUGGUAAGGUAAUGGCUUACCAAGGCGACGAUCAGUAGCCGACCUGAGAGGGUGAUCGGCCACAUUGGAACUGAGUCACGGUCCAAACUCCUACGGGAGGCAGCAGUGGGGAAUAUUGCACAAUGGGCGAAAGCCUGAUGCAGCAACGCCGCGUGAGCGAUGAAGGCCUUCGGGUCGUAAAGCUCUGUCCUCAAGGAAGAUAAUGACGGUACUUGAGGAGGAAGCCCCGGCUAACUACGUGCCAGCAGCCGCCGGUAA
RNAcentral lists this ribosomal RNA (469 nucleotides) under uncultured bacterium. Its description in RNAcentral is "partial 16S ribosomal RNA". It matches the Rfam family "Bacterial small subunit ribosomal RNA", at positions 28 to 523 of the family's 1533-position model. The record is from RNAcentral.